Molecule: long non-coding RNA, 236 nt
Filed under: Carica papaya (papaya)
Lineage: Eukaryota; Viridiplantae; Streptophyta; Magnoliopsida; Brassicales; Caricaceae
Description: long non-coding RNA (CPAP_LNC002745)
Source: RNAcentral
UUAGGUUCACGCGUAGUGAGACACCCCUAGAACCCUCAGAGAUACCAGUAAGCAAAAUAAAAAGGGAAAGUUGUUGUUUUUUCAGCCGUGAAGGUGAGCCGGCAGAGUCACCGCACCCGAAAAAUCCCACCACCGGUAGGUCUUCGUUUUCUAAAUUUUUUUGGCCAACUAAGGCCUCCUAACGUGUUUUUUUUACAAAAAUAUGUAAAAAAGUGGCCGAAAUAGCCAAAACUGGC